AUUGAACGCUGGCGGCAUGCCUUACACAUGCAAGUCGAACGGUAGAGGGGGCAACCCCUUGAGAGUGGCGAACGGGUGAGUAAUAUAUCGGAACGUGCCCAGUCGUGGGGAUAACGUAGCGAAAGCUACGCUAAUACCGCAUACGAUCUAUGGAUGAAAGCGGGGGAUCGCAAGACCUCGCGCGAUUGGAGCGGCCGAUAUCAGAUUAGGUAGUUGGUGAGGUAAAGGCUCACCAAGCCGACGAUCUGUAGCUGGUCUGAGAGGACGACCAGCCACACUGGGACUGAGACACGGUCCAGACUCCUACGGGAGGCAGCAGUGAGGAAUAUUGGUCAAUGGGCGCAAGCCUGAACCAGCCAUGCCGCGUGCAGGAAGACGGUCCUAUGGAUUGUAAACUGC
This 399-nucleotide ribosomal RNA is filed under the name uncultured bacterium. RNAcentral describes it as "bacterial SSU rRNA". It matches the Rfam family "Bacterial small subunit ribosomal RNA", at positions 30 to 433 of the family's 1533-position model. The record is from RNAcentral.